ACUGCUCUAUGCCGACUGUCGUUGCCGGAGGAGGAGGAGCCUGGAAAACUGAAGAUGAGGUCGGAGCUGGUGGAUCUUGCUGAGAUCUGGCCAUGGAGGUAGUAGAUCGCCUGAUGGAUGCCUUUCGGGGAGGCAUUAGGUUGGGAUCUGGCCAGAGAAGAAGAAGAAGAUGUCGAAGAAGAUGAUCGAAGACAGUCCCGUUGAGUACUCCUUUAAGAACAAAGGUCCUGCGAAGACACAGGCCCUUCCUCUAGCGCCAAUUCUGUUGGUGCAAAAUUUUAUCGAUGCCAGAGAAGUUGGAGUCGAGAGGAUCACGGCCGCCAUCGGGACCUACAAGGAAAGUCUAAACUAGAGUUGGGGGUGCUCUGGCAAGACCCUCCCUCUAGCGCCAAUUCUGUUGUAGAAGAUCGGACGGAGUCCAGUUCUUGUAGGAGUCUGGAAGGAGGCCGCUUACCGUAGAAGCUC
Molecule: long non-coding RNA, 465 nt
Filed under: Elaeis guineensis (African oil palm)
Lineage: Eukaryota; Viridiplantae; Streptophyta; Magnoliopsida; Arecales; Arecaceae
Description: long non-coding RNA (EGUI_LNC075763)
Source: RNAcentral